This 440-nucleotide ribosomal RNA is filed under the name uncultured bacterium. Its description in RNAcentral is "partial 16S ribosomal RNA". It matches the Rfam family "Bacterial small subunit ribosomal RNA", at positions 338 to 795 of the family's 1533-position model. The record is from RNAcentral.
CCUACGGGAGGCAGCAGUAGGGAAUAUUGCUCAAUGGGGGAAACACUGAAGCAGCAACGCCGCGUUGAGGAUGAAGGUUUUCGGAUUUUAAACUCCUUUUGUUAGAGAAGAUAAUGACGGUAUCUAACGAAUAAGCACCGUCUAACUCCGUGCCAGCAGCCGCGGUAAUACGGAGGGUGCAAGCGUUACUCGGAAUCACUGGGCGUAAAGAGCGCGUAGGCGGGAUAGCAAGUCAGAUGUGAAAUCCUAUGGCUUAACCAUAGAACUGCAUUUGAAACUGUUAUUCUAGAGUAUGGGAGAGGUAGGUGGAAUGCUUGGUGUAGGGGUAAAAUCCGUAGAGAUCAAGAGGAAUACUCAUUGCGAAGGCGACCUGCUAGAACAUCACUGACGCUGAUGCGCGAAAGCGUGGGGAGCAAACAGGAUUAGAUACCCCGGUAGUC